UCAAACUCUUAUUGCACAUAAUUUUCUAACAGCUCAACAAUUACCACAAGAAAAUUUUAUAGCACUUCUAGUACUCAGGCUCAGAUCUAUGACAAGAAAAAUGCCAUAUAAAGAGACAAUCUCCAGGUAGUAUCAUCCAAUCCCUUGACCAAAUAUAUAUGCUACAAGAGGAGGAGAGAAAAUUAAUCUAUGUAAUAUCCUUUGACGCAUAUGGUAACAAGCAGCAAGCAAUCCAUUAUAAAGCUAUCCCCCCUAAUAUCAACAAUGGUUGGAAGUCCAAUGAAUCACAACAGAUCUACCUU
This 302-nucleotide long non-coding RNA is filed under the name Phoenix dactylifera (date palm). RNAcentral's name for it is "long non-coding RNA (PDAC_LNC003153)". The record is from RNAcentral. Lineage: Eukaryota; Viridiplantae; Streptophyta; Magnoliopsida; Arecales; Arecaceae.